Molecule: unclassified non-coding RNA, 358 nt
Filed under: soil metagenome
Description: partial contains 5.8S ribosomal RNA, internal transcribed spacer 2, and large subunit ribosomal RNA
Rfam family: 5.8S ribosomal RNA (bases 1-120)
Source: RNAcentral
GAUGAAGAACGUAGCGAAAUGCGAUAAGUAAUGUGAAUUGCAGAAUUCAGUGAAUCAUCGAAUCUUUGAACGCACAUUGCGCCCGCCAGUAUUCUGGCGGGCAUGCCUGUCCGAGCGUCAUUUCAACCCUCGAACCCCUACGGGGGGUCGGCGUUGGGGACCUCGGGAGCCCCUAAGACGGGAUCCCGGCCCCGAAAUACAGUGGCGGUCUCGCCGCAGCCUCUCCUGCGCAGUAGUUUGCACAACUCGCACCGGGAGCGCGGCGCGUCCACGUCCGUAAAACACCCAACUUCUGAAAUGUUGACCUCGGAUCAGGUAGGAAUACCCGCUGAACUUAAGCAUAUCAAUAAGCGGAGGA